Molecule: ribosomal RNA, 429 nt
Filed under: Bacteroidota bacterium
Lineage: Bacteria; Pseudomonadati; Bacteroidota
Description: Bacteroidetes bacterium partial 16S ribosomal RNA
Rfam family: Bacterial small subunit ribosomal RNA
Source: RNAcentral
UAGGGAAUCUUCGGCAAUGGGGGGAACCCUGACCGAGCAACGCCGCGUGAGUGAAGAAGGUUUUCGGAUCGUAAAGCUCUGUUGUUAAGGAAGAACGAGUGUGAGAAUGGAAAGUUCAUACUGUGACGGUACUUAACCAGAAAGGGACGGCUAACUACGUGCCAGCAGCCGCGGUAAUACGUAGGUCCCGAGCGUUGUCCGGAUUUAUUGGGCGUAAAGCGAGCGCAGGCGGUUAGAUAAGUCUGAAGUUAAAGGCAGUGGCUCAACCAUUGUAAGCUUUUGAAACUGUUUAACUUGAGUGCAGAAGGGGAGAGUGGAAUUCCAUGUGUAACGGUGAAAUGCGUAGAUAUAUGGAGGAACACCGGUGGCGAAAGCGGCUCUCUGGUCUGUAACUGACGCUGAGGCUCGAAAGCGUGGGGAGCGAACAGG